This 314-nucleotide unclassified non-coding RNA is filed under the name plant metagenome. RNAcentral's name for it is "partial contains 5.8S ribosomal RNA, internal transcribed spacer 2, and large subunit ribosomal RNA". The stretch from base 1 to 105 matches the Rfam family "5.8S ribosomal RNA", at positions 50 to 154 of the family's 154-position model. The record is from RNAcentral.
GAAAUGCGAUAAUUAAUGUGAAUUGCAGAAUUCAGUGAAUCAUCGAGUCUUUGAACGCACAUUGCGCCCCCUGGUAUUCCGGGGGGCAUGCCUGUCCGAGCGUCAUUGCUGCCCUCAAGCACGGCUUGUGUGUUGGGCUUCCGUCCCCGGCAACGGGGACGGGCCCAAAAGGCAGUGGCGGCACCAUGUCUGGUCCUCGAGCGUAUGGGGCUUUGUCACCCGCUCCCGUAGGUCCAGCUGGCAGCUAGCCUCGCAACCAAUCUUUUUAACCAGGUUGACCUCGGAUCAGGUAGGGAUACCCGCUGAACUUAAGC